GAAACCAAGAGUCAGAUGCUAGACUGACUGAGCCACCCAGGGGCUGUUCAUAUUUUAUUGGAUGUUCAUAUUUAAAACUGGUUCUUGUUGCAAACUCGUGUUCUUGGAUUCGGAUUUAUUGACAGUCCACAGAAGGCUUUUCUGGAACUUUUCUACACUAAGGAUGAAGACAGUAGAAGACACCAGGCUGAGACAAUUCGGAAGUGAAGCCAUGAAUGCAGGUUCAUGGUACUCCAUAUGCAAACUCCUUCACCAAUAUCUCACCUCAGCCCUUCCUGUGCCUGGUGUCCUUGAAGCCACAGCACGUCUGGAACAUUUCUAGAAAAUAUCUAGUUGGUGUUAUGGAAUCAGGCGCUCAUCUGCAGGUGUUAUGUCAAUGGGUAAAGACAGUAAAGGGGCUCGAGAAUUCUCAUAAACUUUCAGACUACUUUCACCUAAGAAUGUGCUCUGUGAUUUAUGUUUCAAUUUUAACCUCUCCAUUCUUGGUACAAAUAUAUGGUCUGAAUCCUCGGGGUUUUAUAAGGAAAAUCAGUUCACUUCUCAUAACAUCUCAUUACUUGUCAUCAUUAUCAAUAUCUUAGAAGUCCUUUAGGAUGUGUCCACAAAUAUACCCCUUUGCUCAUAUAAACGUGAAUUUUGUGUCUGAAUUUAUUUACAUUUUUAUCAUGUGUGUAUGUAUCAGUUUUGCCUCACGUUUAAAUUUAUGUAAAUGAAAAUGUUCAUAGUUUUUAAUCUAUAACUUAUACAUUUUCUGCUCAAAUUGAUAUUUAUGAGCCUGGCGAUAUAUUUCCACAAUUACCUUUUCUGUCUGCUCUGUAAAAAUAAAUCUGGACUCUUUAUUCGUUUUGUUCUCAGUCAGCUGUACGAUAUUAAGCUUUGUCAGGAGAGGUUCAUUGUAGAAGACAUUGUAGAAAGAAAAGAUUUGCUUCCUGGUCCCAGUGUACUUCUCUAAGCAGGCGCCAGUUGUACACACCGAUUUUCUAGAGCCUGGUUCCUGAAGUAGCCUCAAAUUAUCCAGCACCCAGUUUCCACAGUUCCUGGAAAUCAACAGCAACAAGCCGACAGCUUUCCCUGGGACUCCUCUGAUAGCGGUUUUGUGGUAGAUUACCUCUGGUGAGUCACUUGAGAACACUUCUCCUUGGCAAUCUGGAGGGCAAGUUCCAUCCAGAGGGAGGGCAAGUCCCGAGGGGCAGGUUUCCUGGAAGUUCUGCAGCAUGAGAGAACAGCAACUUCUCUGCCAUUCAGGGGCCAUAGCCAUAGACUCCCCAGCAAGGGCUGAAUGUUAACCUUGGUGGGUGUUUCCAACAUGGCUGCCCUCUUCAUCCGUAGGUGUAAUGGCUGCUCUUAUUAAAAUUCUCCCUACUUCUUAUUAGAUAAUGCCUUGUGACUCUACCCCCUGUUACAGUCAAUAAUUCUUUAUAUUAAAUUUUCUU
This is a long non-coding RNA of Felis catus (domestic cat), 1433 nucleotides long. RefSeq lists it as uncharacterized. The transcript has 3 exons. The record is from RefSeq and is a predicted model, not a curated record. Lineage: Eukaryota; Metazoa; Chordata; Mammalia; Carnivora; Felidae.